Molecule: long non-coding RNA, 1671 nt
Organism: Diospyros lotus (date-plum)
Lineage: Eukaryota; Viridiplantae; Streptophyta; Magnoliopsida; Ericales; Ebenaceae
Exons: 2
Source: RefSeq, a predicted model, not a curated record
AGGCGGGGGGGUUGGCAAGAUGAUGUGAUAUUACUACCUUUACAAUGAACAAUGUUAAGGUGAAGUUUCAACUUAAUUAUACGUUUGGAGACUAAAGGGAUGGAGGGCCAAUUGGCAAUAGCUUAUUGGUUGCUCCAGAAGGAGGUGGUCGCUGUAGAGCUCAUGAGCUGGAAGGCUAAAACGGCAAUCUCCCUUGUCGUCUCAUCAAUUGUCACGAUUGCCUUGUCGUUUUGCCUGCUGUUAUGAGAAUUCUUGAUUUGAUUUCAUCUCAGUUGUUGCUUUGCCUAUUUAAUCCUCCUUUCUUCUUGAGAUUCAAGCAGCAUACCCUUCGAUCAUCUUCUUAAGGUUUCUUUCAUUUGAGCUUCUUCAUUUACGAUCUUCUACAGGUUCUAUUUUUUCUUUGGCUCUUAGUCUUUGCCUCUAAUCUCUUUUUGUGGUUAUGGGACACUUUUGUUAGUGAGCUAUUGAAUAUACACUGAGUGAGUGAGAUAUGUAUAUGGAAGCUGUAAUCGAUUUUUCAAUUAGUGCAGUGAGUUUUCUUCAUUAGAGCUCAACAUGGAUGUAACCCUAUUUAACAGUAUUGUAUUUUGAAUCUAAGUUUUGUGGUGGCUGAGUCUUGUGCUCGACCCAACAAAUAAGCACGGUAAGUUUGAAGUUGCAAUUUGUAGAAGAAAUGAGGAAAGAAGGUGAUCAACUUUGGAAGCAACGAAGAGGUAGAGAAAUCUUGCAUGAUGAUGUUAUUGCCCAGAGCGACAAAUUGCGAUGGUCCCAUCUGUGUUCUGCCUCUAUUCGUCCUCUAUUUCUAUUUUCUGCUUCCCCAAACAUCAGUAAUUUUCACUUUCAUUACGCAUUUCAAGUUUCAGAUUGAAACUUUGCUUUGGAAGGAUACCGCCAUAGUGGACCAAGAAGAUACACAUGAAGAAUGUAGGCUUGGUUUCCUUGUUUUCAACCAUGAGUAAACAAAAGUGCAGGUGGGGCGACCAAGUUAAUUGAGACAAAGGAAAGAGAAGAAAAGAAAAGAAAAAACUCUUUGAAUCAUCCAAAGUGGAGAAAGGAAAUUCAAAGUAAAAUUAUGCACUUCAGCUACACAAACUACUACAUUGCAGAUCCAGUAAAUAGCAGCAUACAUGUCUGAAGAGUUGAUAUAUCAAAGGACUCUCUCUUAUACAGAAAUCCUCCUUCAUAAAUCUAUGGAGUAACCUAAUAUAUUCGACGAGUACAAUAUGAUACAAAAUCUUUCUUGCUGCCACUCUUCAUAGUUGGCAGGAAGAACUCGGGAGGGAGAAGACGAGACCUCGUCCUGAUAUGUAUCACAAACAACCCUACAGAUAUUUGGCAGAUGUAAAUAUACCUAUAGAACCAGAUAUUUCGAAGAUGUAAAUAUACCUAUAGAACCAACUCUUGCUAUGCUAACUUAAGAGAAAAGCACAGCUUAGGGAGCCGAGGGAUAAAGGGCCGAGAGGAAGAGGGAGAUGAAGGGUACUUCUAAAUAGGAAAUACUGGCCAUGACCAUUAUUAAAUCUUAAGGAAAUUGGAGGAUAAUUCCUGUAAUUUGCUGCUGAAAUGCAUUUUCGGGAAAUAAUCACCUUUUUUUUUUUCAGUUUAUUCCAUCCAAGCCAGGACUAUAGUUGUCUUCCUGAUAGUGAAAGGAAGCAAAAGCUUUUCGGUUGU